This 468-nucleotide ribosomal RNA is filed under the name uncultured bacterium. Its description in RNAcentral is "partial 16S ribosomal RNA". It matches the Rfam family "Bacterial small subunit ribosomal RNA", at positions 28 to 507 of the family's 1533-position model. The record is from RNAcentral.
GACGAACGCUGGCGGCGUGCUUAACACAUGCAAGUCGAACGGAAAGGCCCUGCUUUUGUGGGGUGCUCGAGUGGCGAACGGGUGAGUAACACGUGAGUAACCUGCCCUUGACUUUGGGAUAACUUCUGGAAACUGGGGCUAAUACCGGAUAGGAGCUCCUGCUGCAUGGUGGGGGUUGGAAAGUUUCGGCGGUUGGGGAUGGACUCGCGGCUUAUCAGCUUGUUGGUGGGGUAGUGGCUUACCAAGGCUUUGACGGGUAGCCGGCCUGAGAGGGUGACCGGCCACAUUGGGACUGAGAGACGGCCCAGACUCCUACGGGAGGCAGCAGUGGGGAAUAUUGCACAAUGGGCGGAAGCCUGAUGCAGCAACGCCGCGUGCGGGAUGACGGCCUUCGGGUUGUAAACCGCUUUCGCCUGUGACGAAGCGUGAGUGACGGUAAUGGGUAAAGAAGCACCGGCUAACUACGUG